RNAcentral lists this long non-coding RNA (354 nucleotides) under Medicago truncatula (barrel medic). Its description in RNAcentral is "long non-coding RNA (MTRU_LNC003730)". The record is from RNAcentral. Lineage: Eukaryota; Viridiplantae; Streptophyta; Magnoliopsida; Fabales; Fabaceae.
GAGAGGGAAGAAGCAAAGCAAGUAUCAGAUGAAGAAGCUUUGUUUUUUGCCAUGGAACUAUCAGGUGCUUCUGCUGCUCCAAUGGUUCUAAAAUCAGCUUUAGAACUUGGCAUCAUUGAAAUUAUAGCCAAAGCUGGUCCAAAUGCUCAUCUUUCAUCUUCAAACAUUGCUUCUCAAAUCCCUUCUAUAAAAAAUCCAGAUGCACCUUCUAUGUUGGACCGAUUAUUGCGUCUAUUGGCUAGCUACAAAAUUCUUACUUGCUCCAUUCAACAUCAAGAUGGAGAUUCUAUUGAAAGGCUUUAUGGUCUUCACCCUCUUGCUAAGUAUUUUGUCAAUAAUCAAGAUGGUGUCUCC